Molecule: transfer RNA, 75 nt
Filed under: Candidatus Kaiserbacteria bacterium RIFCSPHIGHO2_01_FULL_48_10
Lineage: Bacteria; Candidatus Kaiseribacteriota
Description: tRNA-Glu
Rfam family: tRNA
About the family: Transfer RNA (tRNA) molecules are approximately 80 nucleotides in length. Their secondary structure includes four short double-helical elements and three loops (D, anti-codon, and T loops).
Source: RNAcentral
GGCCUCAUCGUCUAACGGUUAGGACACGGCCUUCUCAAGGCUGGAAUCCGGGUUCGAUUCCCGGUGAGGUCACCA